GAGUGUAGGUGGCUCAUUAAGUCACAUGUGAAAUCCCCGGGCUUAACCUGGGAACUGCAUGUGAUACUGGUGGUGCUAGAAUAUGUGAGAGGGAAGUAGAAUUCCAGGUGUAGCGGUGAAAUGCGUAGAGAUCUGGAGGAAUACCGAUGGGGAAGGCAGCUUCCUGGCAUAAUAUUGACACUGAGAUUCGAAAGCGUGGGUAGCAAACAGGAUUAGAUACCCUGGUAGUCCACGCCGUAAACGAUGUCUACUAGCCGUUGGGGUCCUUGAGACUUUAGUGGCGCAGUUAACGCGAUAAGUAGACCGCCUGGGGAGUACGGCCGCAAGGUUAAAACUCAAAUGAAUUGACGGGGGCCCGCACAAGCGGUGGAGCAUGUGGUUUAAUUCGAUGCAACGCGAAGAACCUUACCUGGUCUUGACAUAGUGAGAAUCUUUCAGAGAUGAGAGAGUGCCUUCGGGAAUUCACAUACAGGUGCUGCAUGGCUGUCGUCAGCUCGUGUCGUGAGAUGUUGGGUUAAGUCCCGCAACGAGCGCGACCCUUUUCCUUAUUUGCCAGCGGGUUAAGCCGGGAACUUUAAGGAUACUGCCAGUGACAAACUGGAGGAAGGCGGGGACGACGUCAAGUCAUCAUGGCCCUUACGACCAGGGCUACACACGUGCCACAAUGGUAGGUACAGAGGGUUGCUACACAGCGAUGUGAUGCUAAUCUCAAAAAGCCUAUCGUAGUCCGGAUUGGAGUCUGCAACUCGACUCCAUGAAGUCGGAAUCGCUAGUAAUC
This 778-nucleotide ribosomal RNA is filed under the name uncultured bacterium. Its description in RNAcentral is "bacterial SSU rRNA". It matches the Rfam family "Bacterial small subunit ribosomal RNA", at positions 567 to 1343 of the family's 1533-position model. The record is from RNAcentral.